UGGGGAAUUUUGGACAAUGGGCGCAAGCCUGAUCCAGCCAUGCCGCGUGUCUGAAGAAGGCCUUCGGGUUGUAAAGGACUUUUGUUAGGGAAGAAAAAGGAGCGGUUAAUACCCGUUUCUGCUGACGGUACCUAAAGAAUAAGCACCGGCUAACUACGUGCCAGCAGCCGCGGUAAUACGUAGGGUGCGAGCGUUAAUCGGAAUUACUGGGCGUAAAGCGAGCGCAGACGGUUACUUAAGCAGGAUGUGAAAUCCCCGGGCUUAACCUGGGAACUGCGUUCUGAACUGGGUGGCUAGAGUAUGUCAGAGGGGGGUAGAAUUCCACGUGUAGCAGUGAAAUGCGUAGAGAUGUGGAGGAAUACCGAUGGCGAAGGCAGCCCCCUGGGAUAAUACUGACGUUCAUGCUCGAAAGCGUGGGUAGCAAACAGGAUUAGAUACCCUGGUAGUCCACGCCCUAAACGAUGUCGAUUAGCUGUUGGGCAGCUUGACUGCUUAGUAGCGUAGCUAACGCGUGAAAUCGACCGCCUGGGGAGUACGGUCGCAAGAUUA
This 549-nucleotide ribosomal RNA is filed under the name uncultured bacterium. RNAcentral's name for it is "bacterial SSU rRNA". It matches the Rfam family "Bacterial small subunit ribosomal RNA", at positions 355 to 896 of the family's 1533-position model. The record is from RNAcentral.